This 249-nucleotide ribosomal RNA is filed under the name uncultured bacterium. RNAcentral's name for it is "partial 16S ribosomal RNA". It matches the Rfam family "Bacterial small subunit ribosomal RNA", at positions 523 to 769 of the family's 1533-position model. The record is from RNAcentral.
AUACGAAGGGGGCUAGCGUUGCUCGGAAUGACUGGGCGUAAAGGGCGUGUAGGCGGUUUACACAGUCAGAUGUGAAAUCCCCGGGCUUAACCUGGGAGCUGCAUUUGAUACGUGUAGACUAGAGUGUGAGAGAGGGUUGUGGAACUUCCCAGUGUAGAGGUGAAAUUCGUAGAUAUUGGGAAGAACACCGGUGGCGAAGGCGGCAACCUGGCUCAUGACUGACGCUGAGGCGACGAAAGCGUGGGGAGC